ACCUGCAAAUCUUAGAGUACCAAUCUUAUCAGAUUUUGGAAGCUAAGCAGGUUAAACCUAGCUGGAACUUGAAUGGGAGACCACCAGAAAAUACCAGGAUCUUCAGGUA
RNAcentral lists this ribosomal RNA (109 nucleotides) under Pogona vitticeps (central bearded dragon). The record is from RNAcentral. Lineage: Eukaryota; Metazoa; Chordata; Lepidosauria; Squamata; Agamidae.